RNAcentral lists this unclassified non-coding RNA (360 nucleotides) under uncultured Ascomycota. RNAcentral describes it as "sequence contains ITS1". Lineage: Eukaryota; Fungi; Ascomycota. The record is from RNAcentral.
CAGCACCACCCCCAUCAUCGUAAUGAUCCGUUCGUCGCCGGCCUGCGCGAGGAAAGUAAGGCGAGACAGGCCGGCGUGCGCGAGCAGCGUCUGCGGCUCGUUCAGUGCCGCGAUGAAUGCCGGCAGCAGGCCCACGCCGGCAACCUCGAGCAUCGCGACCAUGAAAAAGGAGCCGACGAACAGCAGGUAGCGCCCGCCGCCGUCGGCGAGUAUCGAUCGCAGCGCGGAGAGCGUAUGGCUCAGGGAUGAAUCAGUCGGCAUGCGGGGCGUCACCUGAUGUCGAAGUGGCGCGCCAGAUGGAUCGAGCCGUCGAUGCUGAGAUGGUCGCCGUCACGGUAUAACAUCUUCCCAUUCCUCAUC